GGAAUUCCUGGCAGAGUGAUUU
Molecule: microRNA, 22 nt
Filed under: Danio rerio (zebrafish)
Lineage: Eukaryota; Metazoa; Chordata; Actinopteri; Cypriniformes; Danionidae
Also listed under: 2 other names
Description: Dre-Mir-23-P3_5p* (star (passenger))
Source: RNAcentral